Molecule: long non-coding RNA, 1512 nt
Filed under: Nicotiana tabacum (common tobacco)
Lineage: Eukaryota; Viridiplantae; Streptophyta; Magnoliopsida; Solanales; Solanaceae
Description: long non-coding RNA (NTAB_LNC001334)
Source: RNAcentral
GCCGAAACCUUGGGAGGCGUGGCUGGCACCCGGUACCGCACUGGCCCCACCGAACCACUCUGCAACUUUUUUUUCUUUUUUUGAAACUAUCAUGGGCCAACAUGGUCACAGCUCGUAAUGUAUAACUAUAAGUGGGCAACAUUAUAUCACUGAACCAUUUUUCUUAAAACAUGAAUACACAUGGGUCAUCAAGGCCUCUGACAUACUGUACAAAAUGAACCUCUAUCUACAAAGCCUCUAAGAUUAUUUGACAUCAAAUGGGACAGGGUACCGGCCUACCCAUAAGUUUGUAGCAAAAUUCUGACAAGAAGACACAUAGACUCGGCUGCACUCUGAAUAAGGUGGAGUCUUACCGAUCCUUAGCUGAAUGCUGACCUCAUGUACUAUGAGGGCUCGUCAAACUGAUUGUCUAUACCUGCAGGCAUGAAUGCAGCGUCCCCAACAAAAGGACAUCAGUACAAAUAAUGUACCGAGUAUGUAAGGCACAUAAAUAAGUAUAUAAAAGACAUGGAAGAAACAUGGAGUAAAUGACUCAACCUGUAAGUCUGGAUAACUUUGUAAGUCUGGAUAACUCUGUAAAUCAUGAAAUACUUAUAGUGUCAUACAUAUGCGUAUGAAUGUCAUGUCGUGCAUAGGUACAUGUGUUCAUAACAUCAUCAAGACUAUGAGGACAUCUCAUAGUAUCAUCUCGGCCACUGUGGGCAAAAUAAUCAACGUAUACCAGCUGAUCAGGUGGUGGUGUGUAUAUAAUGCAGUAACCUUUUUCCAUAUCCCUUAUACAUAUAUACGUGUAUAAAACGCCAUGUGGUCAUGAGUCAAUGCGUUAAUAGGAUUUUCUCGGAAUGCCAUAAAAAUUAAUAUGUCUUUCGGAUAAAGGUAAUCAAAUACGUAUUUUUCUGAGACUCAUGAACAGAAGAUAUAAUAAUAAUUCACAUAGGGAAUCAAGAAUAUAGAUACCUCUAGUAUUUUUAUGAAUAGAGUCAUUUAUGAAAAUUGUACCUUUACUCGUUUUGUUUGUGACGUAUAGAUCAUGCCAAAAAAAUAAGGGAUAACCUUAAUAUAACCUGAGCCAAUUCUCUUAACAAUCCGUCCAAGAAACUCUUCUCUCCUUUCAUCUAUGUCCUUCAUUUUUCAAUUUCAUUUGGUCCUUUUUCCCCUCCUUUCGUCUCCUCCCAUACACCUCCUGUCACCCAUGUGUCAUCCACUCCCAAUAACAGCUCGAAGCUCCAGUCAAACCAUCAUACCAAACACAUAUCCUCCUCUGCACAUUCUGUCAUAACAUAGGCAACAAUCUGAACUUCGAGAAACACAACAAGCUUUACAUUAUGCAUAUUAAUUUGGUCACUCCCCUUAAUCUAUUUAUCAAUAAAGUGACAUCAUUGAAAUUAGUCCUUAUAUUGUGAGAAACUAGAGCAAAUAAUGGACAAUUGAAGAAUUCAAGCUAUCAUCUAUUACACAGUAAUACUCUAGACAAAACAAAGCUACUUUCGAAGCUAUAAUAGGUCAUAAAAC